RNAcentral lists this long non-coding RNA (638 nucleotides) under Mustela putorius furo (domestic ferret). Its description in RNAcentral is "lncRNA (ENSMPUG00000030695.1)". Lineage: Eukaryota; Metazoa; Chordata; Mammalia; Carnivora; Mustelidae. The record is from RNAcentral.
GUUGGGCACAGCAAAGAUGGCGCUGGCCUGCCUUCUCUUCCGGCUAGAAAAGGCGCUAGAAAAGGCGCCACCGUGGCAGUAUUGGCGCCAACGUGGCGGUUUCGGUUCCGCAUAUCUCUGAUAUUUCCUCCUCUCGCCCAACACACCCUACCCAGUUACUGACUACGUAACCAAACCCCAUAGGCUCUCUCCCCGCUGACCUCAUUUCCCAUCCCCUAACCAAUAUAAGCUGCAACCCCGCUCAAUAAAGUGAGAUCCUGCUUCGACAGAUCCCCCGAGUCUGGUGUGGUUCCUGAAUGCGCCUGGACUCGCGACACUCGCCAUCCCGCUCAGCCCCAAGGGGAGCUACCGGCUGGCCCGGAUGCUCUCCUCGUGCCUGUCCGCCCGCAAAACCUACCGGAGUCCGACAUCUGCAUAUAGCAACAGUUAGGAAAUCAGAACCCGGACAUCUGAAGAGGAUUCGGAGGAGACCAGAUGUGUGUUUUUCUGUCCCCGUUAACUUUCUGUCCCCAGAACCCACUCAUUUCUCUUCAUACUGCAAGUCCGACUGGAAGUCCGGCUCUUGGAAAACUGUAAAGAAUUUAACAACCCAUUCUACAAAGGAAGACAGCAUCUCAAAGCAGAAACAUAAUUUCUGA